RNAcentral lists this ribosomal RNA (253 nucleotides) under uncultured bacterium. RNAcentral's name for it is "partial 16S ribosomal RNA". It matches the Rfam family "Bacterial small subunit ribosomal RNA", at positions 524 to 776 of the family's 1533-position model. The record is from RNAcentral.
UACGUAGGGUGCAAGCGUUGUCCGGAAUUAUUGGGCGUAAAGAGCUCGUAGGCGGCUUGUCGCGUCGGCUGUGAAAACCUGGGGCUCAACCCCGGGCCUGCAGCCGAUACGGGCAAGCUAGAAUUCGGUAGGGGAGACUGGAAUACUUGGUGUAGCAGUGAAAUGCGUAGAUAUCAAGUGGAACACCAGUGGCGAAGGCGAGUCCCUGGACAACACCUGACACUGAGGCACGAAAGCUAGGGGAGCAAACAGG